CCACCCGUCUUCCUUCUGCUGGGUCGUGUUAAAGCCUCUGCAUCCGUUUUGGUGCAUUUGAUGAAGCAAAUGCAAGCCACAGCAACAGGCGAAUUCCCCAGCGUAACAGAAGAGGGCAGAUCGCACCAUCUUCCCGAACCAGGACCCUCACUGGAAAAUGGAACUGAGCAGACUGUGCGUCCUGGGAGGACACUGGCAGCCCUGGGCAGAAGAGGACAGUUACCAGUUUGCUCAUUGCCAGCCCUAAGGGCUGAACUGCCCGACUGUGGUGUAGCUUUGACACCAUUACGAGAUAGACACUAGCAACCCUAUCUAGUGUCUGGGAAAGUCACCUCCCCCCCCCCCGAAAAAAAAAAGCAAUAUAUGACCCAAAGAGCCAGGAAGUCUGAACUCUCUCCAGAAAGGGAGGAUUCUAUGGGGAUUCCUGCAUAGGGAAUGUGAGUGUCUUUUAUUGUUUUUAUUGUCAACACAACCAAGAGUGACAAGAGUCUCAACUGAAGGACCUCCCAGAUCAGAUUGGCCUGUGGCUAUGUGUGUGGGGAACUGUGUUAGCUGCUGAUUGAUGGGGGAGGACCUAGCUCUCUGUGGGUUCACCACCACCACCACCACCACCACCACCUCUGGGCAGGUUGUCCUGGCUUGUGAUAGCAGGGCUGAAUAGGCAGAGAGACAGAGACACAGAGACACAGAGACACACACACACACACAGAGGGAGGUAGAGGAGAGAGAGAGAGAGAGAGAGAGAGAGAGAGAGAGAGAGAGAGAGAGAGAGAGAGCACAUCAUUCUUCCAAGUUCCCGUCUUGAGUUCCUGCCCUGGCUUCCCUCAAUGAUGGAUAUGACCUGGAAGUGGUCCACUCCAGAUUCUAUGGAGCCUACAUUCAACAGCAGCCGUGGGAGGGAGCAAUUCUUCAUCCUAACUCAGUCUCCAGGAGUAUGGUUGUCAAGAGAAGGCAAGAACGGUGCUGCAGAGAGCCAGUGACAGCCCCACCCUGAAGCUGGCUGGAAGGAGUCAGGAGUACCACACCCUCAAGGCCCAGCCUUCAAACCCCGCCCCCCCCCCCCCGUCCCGUCCCAUCUCCUAAAGUCCCACAGCCCCCCCCAACACACACACCCUAAACUGCAGGGUGGGGACACAGUGCUCAGAAUGAGCCUGUAGGGGAGCAUUCCAGAUUCAAACCACUGCACAAACAAAAAAAUAAUAAAAGACGAAAUUAAUGAAAAUGAAUACAAAUGCAGUCAGUGAAUUCAGAGAACGGGUGUGCUGAGAAAUGCCGGUGUCCUGGAGGUUCCGGUGGAACGAGACCUCACCGGAGCACAAGAGAGAUACGGAGGACAAACCCUGGCACCUAACACCGAAAGGAGAGUGGCUUUAGAAAAAGGAGAAAGGGGAAAUAUGUAUAAAGGGAAAACAAGAGUUGAACAAUUAAUUAAAGAGCAUUUUCUGAGCCUCAGAAAGACUUGAUUAAAGGGGCUGAUAAAGUUCCAGGAAGGAUUAAUUAAAGAAAGGCAUAUACUUAGACAGACCCUGGUGUAAUUCCAGAAUUAUAAACUCCCAGACAA
RNAcentral lists this long non-coding RNA (1561 nucleotides) under Cricetulus griseus (Chinese hamster). Its description in RNAcentral is "lncRNA (ENSCGRG00015034167.1)". The record is from RNAcentral. Lineage: Eukaryota; Metazoa; Chordata; Mammalia; Rodentia; Cricetidae.